This 429-nucleotide ribosomal RNA is filed under the name Bacteroidota bacterium. Its description in RNAcentral is "Bacteroidetes bacterium partial 16S ribosomal RNA". It matches the Rfam family "Bacterial small subunit ribosomal RNA", at positions 355 to 776 of the family's 1533-position model. The record is from RNAcentral. Lineage: Bacteria; Pseudomonadati; Bacteroidota.
UAGGGAAUCUUCCGCAAUGGACGCAAGUCUGACGGAGCAACGCCGCGUGAGUGAAGAAGGAUUUCGGUUCGUAAAACUCUGUUGUUAGAGAAGAACAGCGCAUAGAGUAACUGUUAUGCGUGUGACGGUAUCUAACCAGAAAGCCACGGCUAACUACGUGCCAGCAGCCGCGGUAAUACGUAGGUGGCAAGCGUUGUCCGGAUUUAGUGGGCGUAAAGCGAGCGCAGGCGGUCAAUUAAGUCUGAUGUGAAAGCCCCCGGCUCAACCGGGGAGGGUCAUUGGAAACUGGUUGACUUGAGUGCAGAAGAGGAGGGUGGAAUUCCAUGUGUAGCGGUGAAAUGCGUAGAUAUAUGGAGGAACACCAGUGGCGAGGGCGACUCUCUGGUCUGUAACUGACGCUGAGGCUCGAAAGCGUGGGUAGCAAACAGG